GAAACGACUGCUAAGACUGGAUAGGAGACAAGAAGGCAUCUUCUUGUUUUUAAAAGACCUAGCAAUAGGUAUGCUUAGGGAGGAGCUUGCGUCACAUUAGUUAGUUGGUGGGGUAAAGGCCUACCAAGACUAUGAUGUGUAGCCGGGCUGAGAGGUUGAACGGCCACAUUGGGACUGAGACACGGCCCAAACUCCUACGGGAGGCAGCAGUAGGGAAUUUUCGGCAAUGGAGGAAACUCUGACCGAGCAACGCCGCGUGAACGAUGAAGUAUUUCGGUACGUAAAGUUCUUUUAUUAGGGAAGAAUAAAUGAUGGAAAAAUCAUUCUGACGGUACCUAAUGAAUAAGCCCCGGCUAACUAUGUGCCAGCAGCCGCGGUAAUACAUAGGGGGCAAGCGUUAUCCGGAAUUAUUGGGCGUAAAGGGUGCGUAGGCGGUUAAAUAAGUUUAUGGUCUAAGUGCAAUGCUCAACAUUGUGAUGCUAUAAAAACUAUUUAACUAGAGUAAGAUAGAGGCAAGUGGAAUUCCAUGUGUAGUGGUAAAAUGCGUAAAUAUAUGGAGGAACACCAGUAGCGAAGGCGGCUUGCUGGGUCUUUACUGACGCUGAGGCACGAAAGCGUGGGGAGCAAACAGGAUUAGAUACCCUGGUAGUCCACGCCGUAAACGAUGAGUACUAAACGUUGGGUAAAACCAGUGUUGAAGUUAACACAUUAAGUACUCCGCCUGAGUAGUACGUACGCAAGUAUGAAACUUAAAGGAAUUGACGGGACUCCGCACAAGCGGUGGAUCAUGUUGUUUAAUUCGAAGGUACCCGAAAAACCUCACCAGGUCUUGACAUGCUUCUGCAAAGCUGUAGAAACACAGUGGAGGUUAUCAGUUGCACAGGUGGUGCAUGGUUGUCGUCAGCUCGUGUCGUGAGAUGUUGGGUUAAGUCCCGCAACGAGCGCAACCCUUAUUGUUAGUUACCAGCACGUAAUGGUGGGGACUUUAGCAAGACUGCCAGUGAUAAAUUGGAGGAAGGUGGGGACGACGUCAAAUCAUCAUGCCCCUUAUGACCUGGGCUACAAACGUGAUACAAUGGCUGUUACAAAGGGUAGCUAAAGCGUAAGUUUUUUGCGAAUCUCAAAAAAACAGUCUCAGUUCGGAUUGAAGUCUGCAACUCGACUUCAUGAAGUUGGAAUCGCUAGUAAUCGCGAAUCAGCAUGUCGCGGUGAAUACGUUCUCGGGGUUUGUACACACCGCCCGUCA
This 1246-nucleotide ribosomal RNA is filed under the name Sandal spike phytoplasma. RNAcentral describes it as "bacterial SSU rRNA". It matches the Rfam family "Bacterial small subunit ribosomal RNA", at positions 153 to 1399 of the family's 1533-position model. The record is from RNAcentral. Lineage: Bacteria; Bacillati; Mycoplasmatota; Mollicutes; Acholeplasmatales; Acholeplasmataceae.